AAUUCCUUUCGACAGAUGUUGUAAAAUACUGUCGUCUACAGAAGUUUUGUUGCACAAAAGGGAAAAGCUUCUGAUAGCAUGGCAAGCAUUUCUCCAAUUGGAUUGCUUUCUCCCAAUAACUAUUCUUAUAGAAUCUGGGAAGAUCCAUCAUUUAUUAAGUGGAGAAAACGUGAUGCACAUGUUCCUCUUCACUCACAUGAUACGGUUGAAGGUUCUCUUAGAUAUUGGUAUGAACGAAGCAAAGUUGAUUUUCUAAAUGCAAACUUGGCUCUCUGGCAUGAUGAUGCUGUUUUUGGUGCUUUGGAGAGUGCUGCUUUUUGGGUCAAAGGAUUACCUUUUGUGAAAUCUUUAAGUGGGCACUGGAAGUUCUUCUUAGCUACUUCUCCCGAAAGUGUUCCUGUGAACUUCUAUGCUAUUACUUUUGAUGAUUCAGACUGGGUAACACUGCCAGUUCCAUCAAAUUGGCAAAUGCAUGGUUUUGAUCGCCCCAUUUAUACAAAUAUUAUUUACCCUUUCCCUAUGAAUCCUCCAUAUGUUCCUUCAGAUAACCCAACUGGAUGUUAUCGUAAAAGUUUUCGUAUUCCGAAAGAAUGGAAAGGUCGGAGAAUACUGCUGCAUUUUGAGGCUGUUGAUUCUGCCUUUUUUGUUUGGGUGAAUGGUGUUCUUAUCGGGUAUAGCCAGGAUAGCAGACUUCCAGCUGAGUUUGAAAUUACUGAUCACUGCUACCCUUUUGAUUCGGACAAGGAUAAUGUUCUCUCUGUUCAAGUCAUGAGAUGGAGCGAUGGUUCAUAUUUGGAAGAUCAAGACCAUUGGUGGUUGUCUGGUAUUCACCGGGAUGUACUUCUUCUAUCAAAGCCCCAGGUAUUUAUUACAGAUUACUUUUUCAAGUCAACUCUGGACCAAAAUUUUCUCACAGCUGAUCUUCAGGUUGAAGUAAAACUUGAUCUCUGGCAGAACUGUGAAAAUGUUAGUCUUUCCAACAUAACCAUGGAAGCAACAUUGUAUGACAAUUCUGGAUGGUCUACCAGUGGAAAAGAUAAUGAAGAAAUGGAUCUAAGUUCAUAUGAUGUUUUGCAUUUGAAUCUGAGACCACCUCCAACUGGAAGUCUUGGGUCCCAUUUCUAUUUGCUUGAGGGUAAAUUAGAGAAACCAAGACUUUGGUCGAGUGAGCAUCCAAAUUUGUAUACUCUUGUUCUUGUGCUCAAAGAUUCCUCUGGGAACAUACUUGACUGUGAAUCAUGUCAAGUAGGCAUAAGGCAAAUAUCUCAAGCUCCAAAACAAUUGCUUGUUAAUGGCCAACCUGUGGUUAUUCGAGGUGUGAAUAGACAUGAGCAUCAUCCACGUACUGGAAAGGCAGCUCUGGAAGCAUGCAUGAUCAAGGAUCUGGUUGUGAUGAAACAAAAUAAUAUCAAUGCUGUGAGAAAUAGUCAUUACCCUCAACAUCCCAGGUGGUAUGAGCUGUGUGACCUUUUUGGGGUUUACAUGAUCGAUGAAGCAAAUAUCGAGACACAUGGAUUUGAUUUAUCUAGUACUUUUAAGCACCCAACACAAGAAUCUAGAUGGGCAAGUUCUAUGUUAGAUCGUGUAAUUGGCAUGGUGGAGAGGGACAAAAACCAUGCAUGCAUCAUAUCAUGGUCUCUGGGGAAUGAAUCUGGAUAUGGUCCUAAUCAUUGUGCCAUGGCAGGUUGGAUUAGGGAGAAGGAUUCAUCAAGACUCUUGCAUUAUGAAGGUGGUGGUUCUAGGACUUCAUCAACAGAUAUCAUUUGCCCCAUGUACAUGCGUGUAUGGGACAUUUUGAAAAUUGCUAAAGACCCAAAUGAAAGUCGGCCCUUGAUUCUUUGCGAGUACUCACAUGCUAUGGGAAAUAGUAAUGGAAAUAUUCACAAAUACUGGGAGGCUAUUAAUGGAACAUUUGGACUUCAAGGUGGUUUCAUAUGGGAUUGGGUUGACCAGGGUUUACUGAAAGUUGAUGUUGAUGGAUGUAAACACUGGGCUUAUGGAGGUGACUUUGGAGAUAGUCCCAAUGACUUAAACUUCUGUCUGAAUGGAAUCGUGUGGCCUGAUCGAACUCCCCACCCUGCAAUGCAUGAAGUUAAGUAUCUUUAUCAGCCAAUAAAAAUUGUUUUAGCUGAAACCAAAGUUGAGAUAACUAAUGCACAGUACUUCAACACAACACAAGAAAUAGAAUUCAGUUGGCAUCUUCAUGGAGAUGGAUGCAACCUAGGCUGUGGAACACUUAAUCUUCCAGUAAUACAAGCCCAAGAGAGUUAUGGCAUUGAACAAGAAUCAGCACCAUGGUAUUCUGUUUGGAAAGCAUGCUCAGCUAGAGAAGUAUUUUUGACUAUUAUUGGAAAGCUUAGACAUUCAACCCGGUGGGCAAAAGAUUGCCAUGUCCUAGCUUCUACUCAAUUAAUUUUAUCUGCUAAAGAUGAUUCCAUUCCUCAUGUUGUAAGAUUGAUUUCAGAUUCCAAUUUGAUAUCCAAAAAUGUUGGCAACAUCAUAGCAAUUGAGAAACAGAAUUCCUGGCAAAUCAAACUUAACACCCAGACUGGAACAAUUGAGAGCUGGAAGGUUGGAGAGUGUUCAUUAAUUAAUCAAGGGUUACUUCCCUGCCUAUGGAGAGCACCUACUGACAAUGAUAAGGGAGGAGCCCCCAACAGCUAUCUCUGCAAAUGGAAGGCCGCCUUACUGGAUCGUCUGACAUUCCAUACAGAUGAAUGCUCUGUGAAGGAAUUGACAAGUAAUAUGGUUCAUGUCAAAACUGUAUUUAUAGGUGUUCCAAAGGAUCAAGAAAUCCUGCUGAAAUCCAAAAGCUCUAACCAGGAGUCUGAGGAGCCUAUACAUAUUCAAUGCAAAGUUGAAGUUAAUUAUUACAUCCACAGCACUGGUGAUGUCAUUGUUGAUUAUAUGGUAAAUCCUAAAAAUGAUCUUCCACCUCUUCCACGAGUUGGAGUUGUCUUUCAUUUAGAGAAAUCACUAGAUCAUGUCUCCUGGUAUGGUAAAGGACCAUUUGAGUGCUAUCCUGAUCGAAAAGAAGCUGCUCAUGUUGGCAUAUACGAAAGUAGUGUCCAAGAUUUGCAUGUUCCUUAUAUCUUUCCUGUAGAAUCUUCUGGACGCACAGAUGUAAGAUGGGUAGCCUUUCAAAAUAGCAAUGGAGUUGGUCUCUAUGCUUCUGCUUAUGGUACCUCACCACCUAUGCAAAUGAGUGCAAGUUUCUAUGGAACUGCAGAGCUUGAGAGAGCAACUCACAACCACUACCUAGUCGAAAAGGACUAUGUUGAGGUGCACCUUGACCACAAACACAUGGGUAUAGGUGGUGAUGACAGUUGGUCACCUUGUGUCCACGACGAGUACCUAGUGCCUCCUGUUCCAUACUCAUUCUCCAUAAGAUUGAGUCCGAUCAUUCCUCCAACCACAGGCCAAGAUAUCUACAGAUCUCAGAUCCUCUAGUUAUGCUUUCGGCAAUUCUUCUGCAAAACAACAUAAUAUUGAGGCAGAUGGAGGUCUCACAAUUUGAGACAGUAUAAAUUCGGAUCGGAGACGCAAUGCAUGUGUAAUGAAAUGAAACUUGGUGGACGAUGCAUCGAUGCUGAGUUUGCAUGCCCUGAGUUUCUAGGAGAGGAGAUAAGCUAGCGCACGUCUGGUCUGAUGGUGAGUGGAAGUGCAAUGGUGGUGCUGCUGGCCGCGGCGGCUCUGCUGCUGCUGGUGCUGCCGCUGGUGCUGCCUCCUUUGCCUCCGCCUCCUCCCUUCCUUCUCCUGCUCCCCGUGGCCAUGGUGCUCCUCCUCGCCUUCCUAGCCUUUCUCCCCAACACGCCCACUCCGCCGGAUCACCUACAGUACUACUGAUCAUCAUUAAUUCAUCCCACACCUCCCCAGAGGAUCCAUUAAGCUUUUUACCAUCUUUCUUUUUUGCUAUCUGUUUUUUCUUUUGGUGUCUCGUUCGACAGAUGAAGAACGCCUGUUGAGCUGCGCCAGUGACAGUGCAGGAGAUGAACUUGCAGUGCUUGCUUUCGGAUAAGGCGUCGAUGGCCAAGCCACAGGCUCGUAAUUAGCUGAGCUGAGGGCAGUGCAUGCAGGCGGAGUCCAGCAAUGGAUGCAGCAGGGCAAGUGGGUGCGAGGACUGCAGAGUGCUCACUGGCUGCCUGCAGCUUUAAUCGCCCGUGAAGAAAGAGUGAAACGAGGAGAAGGGAAAUGAAAGAGAAUGAUGAUUCAAUUUGCCUGUUUCAGCUAUCUGAUCAAAUAAAACAGUGAUUUUUCCUUCUACCUGUCAUUUGAUAAGAAUUUAGUUGU
RNA transcript from Zingiber officinale, 4290 nucleotides. It is a transcript of the gene named beta-galactosidase-like, with no coding region annotated. NCBI's taxonomy places the organism in Eukaryota, Viridiplantae, Streptophyta, Magnoliopsida, Zingiberales, Zingiberaceae. The transcript has 18 exons. The record is from RefSeq and is a predicted model, not a curated record.